GUUUGAUGUGACAUGGACGUGUGUGACAUCACCAUGGAUGUGUAUGAUGUGACUAUGGAUUUGUGUGAUGUCACCAUGGACAUGCAUGAUGUCACUAUGGACACGUAUGAUAUCGCAUGGAAUUCUGUGAUGUGACCAUGGGCACGUUUGAUGUGACAUAGACGUGUGCGAUGUGACCAUGGACAUGUGUGAUGUCACCAUGGGCACCUCUCAGCUUGUUCCCAGCUGCCUUCCCUCCCUCCAUCCCCAUGGAAUUAUCACUGGCAGAAGUUCCCACAGGUGGGAUGGUGCCCAGUGCUCAGCCCAGCCCCUACUGGGCAGCACCAGAUGCCUUCCAGAGAAUUCCAGGUUGGGUUUCAAUACACAAAUCCAACCCAGAGUGGUCUCCCCAGCUGGAAUUCCUCAUGGAAUAGCCAUAGGCACCACAGAGCAGAGCAGAGACCCCCACAGCCAUCACCAGGCAACAUCACCAUGUCCCACCUCCCACCAAUGCCUCCCAGAGACCUUCAUGUGUGGGGUCCUGCCUGCCACAGAUGCUCCAGGAGCUUCCAAGGAAGGGCUUCCCAUGGGGUCACAGCCCCCCACACAGAGCCUUAAAGAGGAACUGGCUGGUUUAAAGCAGCCUCCUGUUCCUGUGCUGGGAGGUUUCCGGAGCCAAGCCUCAGGCUCGGAGCUGACUGAUGGGAAUUUGGACACAGAGAAUCCUUUCCUGCCUGGAGGAAGCAGAAGAGUUAAACUCACUCAAGGCACCAUAAUUUUUCCAAGAAGAAAACUGUUCUUCCCACACAGGGUCAGUUCUUUUUUGAAACCAGCCUCCCUUUUAUCCCCAAGAAAAAUCUGCUCGUAAUUAUAAAGCAGGGAAAGGAGAGGUUUCUGGAAAUAUUCAUUUGCAGCUGAGCCAUUUUCACCCUGGCACAGGCGGAGCGAGCCUUCCUCGCUCCCAUCUGUCGCGUUCGCGGCGGCGCCGAUGCCAGCCAGGCUCUGCCACCCAGCGUGGCACACUCGGCAGGG
This 1011-nucleotide long non-coding RNA is filed under the name Zonotrichia albicollis (white-throated sparrow). RNAcentral describes it as "lncRNA (ENSZALG00000014296.1)". The record is from RNAcentral. Lineage: Eukaryota; Metazoa; Chordata; Aves; Passeriformes; Passerellidae.